UAGUCAUAUGCUUGUCUCAAAGAUUAAGCCAUGCAUGUCUAAGUAUAAGCAACUUGUACUGUGAAACUGCGAAUGGCUCAUUAAAUCAGUUAUCGUUUAUUUGAUAGUACCUUACUACAUGGAUACCUGUGGUAAUUCUAGAGCUAAUACAUGCUAAAAACCCCGACUUCAGGAAGGGGUGUAUUUAUUAGAUAAAAAACCAACGCCCUUCGGGGCUCCUUGGUGAAUCAUAAUAACUUAACGAAUCGCAUGGCCUUGCGCCGGCGAUGGUUCAUUCA
This 278-nucleotide ribosomal RNA is filed under the name uncultured eukaryote. RNAcentral's name for it is "partial 18S ribosomal RNA". It matches the Rfam family "Eukaryotic small subunit ribosomal RNA", at positions 21 to 301 of the family's 1831-position model. The record is from RNAcentral.